CUGUUAUGACUGAAACUUGUAACGCUGCAGUUGUAGGAAGUAGCGGGCAGAAGGCUGGAGACUGUCACGACAUGAGAAGAUACGCAUGCCAAGAAUGGUUACACAGAGGUGACCCAUGAAGAUCUGGAAUGAGAGGAAGAACUAUGGCUUCCAUCCCGCACAUUACUACUCAAUCUUCGGUCAGCUAUACUACUCAAUACAACUUGCUCUGUGGAGUCCUAAAGACAUCUCUCCAACAGUUGGGAAUGGCUGUAGACAAGAAGUAAGAGCAAAUUCCCUUGAACUAAUUAUCAAGGAAUCCAUUCAAACUAGC
Molecule: long non-coding RNA, 313 nt
Organism: Ahaetulla prasina
Lineage: Eukaryota; Metazoa; Chordata; Lepidosauria; Squamata; Colubridae
Exons: 3
Source: RefSeq, a predicted model, not a curated record